This is a long non-coding RNA of Syzygium oleosum, 262 nucleotides long. RefSeq lists it as uncharacterized. Lineage: Eukaryota; Viridiplantae; Streptophyta; Magnoliopsida; Myrtales; Myrtaceae. The record is from RefSeq and is a predicted model, not a curated record. The transcript is spliced from 3 exons.
GUUUUCUUUGACUUGAAAGUUGUCGCUUCUUGUCAAGUUACCUUAUUUCACUUCCUUCUCACUUUGGUUCUGAUCAAGCCAUACUUAGGAAACAUGAAUGUCCUGCGUUUCUUGAUCGGUGUUCUUGGAAAUGCAGCCGGUCUGUUCCUUUUCUUGGCGCCUGUGGUUACGUUCAAGAGGAUCAUAAGAAGCCGGUCGACUGAGCAGUUCUCGGGCAUCCCCUACGUCAUGACCCUUCUUAAUUGCAUCGUCUUCGCUUGGU